Molecule: long non-coding RNA, 272 nt
Organism: Arabidopsis lyrata subsp. lyrata
Lineage: Eukaryota; Viridiplantae; Streptophyta; Magnoliopsida; Brassicales; Brassicaceae
Exons: 2
Source: RefSeq, a predicted model, not a curated record
AGUUUUCUGCUUUUUGACAUCAGAUGAAACUGAAAGAAAGAACACAAGUAUAUCAGUUUUAGUUUUUAAGAUAAGUCUGAAAAGAAAAGAAAAACAGAGAAGAAGAUGAUGAAAUCUUGAGACCUUAUGAAGAUGAAAUGUUAUAUCAUCAACUUCGAUUUCGAUGUCACUUGCCAUUGGAGGAAAAUAGAAAAUCACAGAAAAAUGAAAGCAAAAUCUCUCGAUGGAAGUGGAAGCAAUUGGGAAUGGUUAUAUUCGGGUUUUUGAGAAAA